RNAcentral lists this ribosomal RNA (900 nucleotides) under Triticum aestivum (bread wheat). RNAcentral describes it as "partial small subunit ribosomal RNA". Lineage: Eukaryota; Viridiplantae; Streptophyta; Magnoliopsida; Poales; Poaceae. The record is from RNAcentral.
AUGGCCGACGACGAGGUGGUCGCCGCGUCCGCGGAGGAGUCGCUGACCACUCCGCUACUCGAGCCAGCCGCGAGCCCCGGCGACCCAUCGGUGGAGGUGAGUCUGUACCGGCGGGGCGCCGGCCCGCCCAAGGUCUUCCGGUCGGGCCUGAGGGGUCCUCGCCGCGACCGCCUCGACGUGCGCGGCAUCCAGGCAGAGCACGGGCUCCGCGCCCUCUUCGCCUUCAAGCCCGGGGUCUCCCGCCGCGGCCUCCGGAUCCGGCCAGACCCGGCGACCGGCCACUCCGCCGUGCCCUUCCGCGACGGCGCCGCCAUCGCCCUCGACGGCGAGCCCAAGGUGCAGGUGUCGUGGACCAAGCCUGUGUUGAUGAUCGCCGCCGGCCUGCUGGUGCCGGCGGUGAUGGCGGUGGUGGCUUUCAACGGGGUGCCUGAGUCGCUACUGUCGUCGAGCGUAGUCAACGCCCUCUUCUCGCCGUGGAUCCUCGCCAGCGCGGUCAUCGUCUUCGUCCGUCUCAGGAUGCGGCCACAAGCUCCUCCAUGGAGCCGAGCUACUGUAAUGAUGGAUUUCGCCUUACGCAUCCUUGUAGAGGAAGACCACAACCCAGACGUCCGGUGGAGCCUGCGAAACCUCACGCACAAAAUCAGAGCCUGUGAUGGGCUGUAUUGUGCCGAAUCUCGCAGUUUUUGCUGCCUCCUUGAGCUCUGCAAGCCUCAUCCUCCUGUAAGCACACCACAACAUCAAAAAAUUCGUGGACAUGUAUUUUUGGCUGCAUGGAUCAGAAUGAGACUUCUCCCAAGUGGAUCAAAAAUAACUGAAACAGACCAGAUUUCUACGGAAAUCACACGAAUUACCCCCAUCCUACUGUGCAAUUCGGGUCAAAUCAAUCACGAAAAGCACUAG